Molecule: long non-coding RNA, 873 nt
Filed under: Salmo salar (Atlantic salmon)
Lineage: Eukaryota; Metazoa; Chordata; Actinopteri; Salmoniformes; Salmonidae
Description: lncRNA (ENSSSAG00000100956.1)
Source: RNAcentral
GGAAGUAUUAACCAAUUUGAAAGAAUAGUUUCAAUAGAAUGUGUUGUUAUUCUCUUUGAAUAAUGUUUAGACAUUUGCAUUAAGAAUAAUUGGUAAAAGUAAUAAUUUAUCAUGUAGUUAAUGAACUGAACUAAACUGUUGUUCUGAUCUGUUCUUUCGAGGUUAUCAUGAAAAGUGACAUCAGACGGUAUCUUAAUGCAUGGAAGAGAUAAUUGGACCGAAAAGUGUGUGUACCUCAAACCCCCUCUAAUUGGCUGAAGAAGGAGUGACGAAGGCGUUGAAUAUGGCCCUGCCCGAACCAUUUCUACUGAGAGGAAUGGCCGAGCCAGCAACCGGUGUACAGAAAUCUUAAGUCUUAUACAUACAGCCGGGAAGAACUAUUGGAUAUAAGAGCGACGUCAACUUACCAACAUUGCGACCAGGAAUACGAUUUUCCCGAAGCGGAUCCUCUGUUUGGACCACCACUCAGGACAAUGGAUCUAAUCCCAGAAGCUGACCCAAGACAACGGCGCUGCAGAAGGGGCAGACGGAGCGGCCUCCUGGUCAGGCUCCGUAGAUGUGCACAUCGCCCACCGCUCCCGAGUAUACUACUCACCAAUGUCCAGUCUCAUGACAACAAGGAUGCCGGUGGGCGGAGUUGGAAGGGUCGUCAGCUAAAUGGGAAACACCUGGGCCCAGCUGUGUCCCAGGAUAAAGAGACCUCUUCCACAGUUAUUGAGAGGACUCUCUCCAUGCAGACACUUUGUUGAUUUUGGUUGUGUAGUUUUGUGGCUUUUUGGUUAUUUCCUUUGGCACCUUUCAACACCCUGCAUUAUUACAUUCAGGUAUGCAAAACACUCACUUACACUACUGAUUACUGAUUACACACACGCC